This 156-nucleotide ribosomal RNA is filed under the name Gymnopilus spectabilis. RNAcentral describes it as "5.8S ribosomal RNA". It matches the Rfam family "5.8S ribosomal RNA". From Rfam's summary of the family: 5.8S ribosomal RNA (5.8S rRNA) is a component of the large subunit of the eukaryotic ribosome. The record is from RNAcentral. Lineage: Eukaryota; Fungi; Basidiomycota; Agaricomycetes; Agaricales; Galerinaceae. RNAcentral also lists the same sequence under 2 other names.
ACUUUCAGCAACGGAUCUCUUGGCUCUCGCAUCGAUGAAGAACGCAGCGAAAUGCGAUAAGUAAUGUGAAUUGCAGAAUUCAGUGAAUCAUCGAAUCUUUGAACGCACCUUGCGCCCCUUGGUAUUCCGAGGGGCAUGCCUGUUUGAGUGUCAUUU